Anas platyrhynchos (mallard) is the source of this 544-nucleotide non-coding RNA. The record is from RefSeq and is a predicted model, not a curated record. NCBI's taxonomy places the organism in Eukaryota, Metazoa, Chordata, Aves, Anseriformes, Anatidae.
GAGAGGCUGAGCUUCAUUUUCUGUCACCUCCUACAUCUGUAGUGCCAGCUUUCUGGCAAGGAGAAGACUUAGACAUCCAAAUCUCUUCAGCAAGAAAUAGGACGUGCACUGCAGCUACAGCUCUCUAUAAAAGGUCACAUUUUAUGGAAAAGUUACUUCGUUCUGAAUCUAACAGGAUACCUGUGUAGGAGGUGUUGGGAAGCUUGAAAAUGUUUCCAUAGAUACAAAACAGAGCCAUAGCAGCAGCUUUCAGCCAGGCCAUGGUAUCUCCAUUGGUGGUAAUUGACACAGCUCCACCGGUAUCAAUGGAACUGCAUGAGCUUAUGAACUUUCAUGGUGCUUCUAGAUAACAUUUUAAGGUAAGAGAAUGCACAUGCUUCAGUUCAUAUCUAGCCAGUCUGCCAAGCUUUAUUUAGUUAUCUGCAAUGCAUUUAUUACAUAAAUGCUUGGCAUUAUGGAUUGCUGAGCUUAGUAGAAUUCAUACUUAGUAAAAAGUUACUUGCAGCGAAGAAAAUGAGAAUAAACAUGAAGUUAGGAUACCUGA